UUAAGCGACUAAGCGUACACGGUGGAUGCCCUGGCAGUCAGAGGCGAUGAAGGACGUGCUAAUCUGCGAUAAGCGUCGGUAAGGUGAUAUGAACCGUUAUAACCGGCGAUUUCCGAAUGGGGAAACCCAGUGUGAUUCGUCACACUAUCAUUAACUGAAUCCAUAGGUUAAUGAGGCGAACCGGGGGAACUGAAACAUCUAAGUACCCCGAGGAAAAGAAAUCAACCGAGAUUCCCCCAGUAGCGGCGAGCGAACGGGGAGGAGCCCAGAGCCUGAAUCAGUGUGUGUGUUAGUGGAAGCGUCUGGAAAGGCGCGCGAUACAGGGUGACAGCCCCGUACACAAAAAUGCACAUGCUGUGAGCUCGAUGAGUAGGGCGGGACACGUGGUAUCCUGUCUGAAUAUGGGGGGACCAUCCUCCAAGGCUAAAUACUCCUGACUGACCGAUAGUGAACCAGUACCGUGAGGGAAAGGCGAAAAGAACCCCGGCGAGGGGAGUGAAAAAGAACCUGAAACCGUGUACGUACAAGCAGUGGGAGCACGCUUAGGCGUGUGACUGCGUACCUUUUGUAUAAUGGGUCAGCGACUUAUAUUCUGUAGCAAGGUUAACCGAAUAGGGGAGCCGAAGGGAAACCGAGUCUUAACUGGGCGUUAAGUUGCAGGGUAUAGACCCGAAACCCGGUGAUCUAGCCAUGGGCAGGUUGAAGGUUGGGUAACACUAACUGGAGGACCGAACCGACUAAUGUUGAAAAAUUAGCGGAUGACUUGUGGCUGGGGGUGAAAGGCCAAUCAAACCGGGAGAUAGCUGGUUCUCCCCGAAAGCUAUUUAGGUAGCGCCUCGUGAAUUCAUCUCCGGGGGUAGAGCACUGUUUCGGCAAGGGGGUCAUCCCGACUUACCAACCCGAUGCAAACUGCGAAUACCGGAGAAUGUUAUCACGGGAGACACACGGCGGGUGCUAACGUCCGUCGUGAAGAGGGAAACAACCCAGACCGCCAGCUAAGGUCCCAAAGUCAUGGUUAAGUGGGAAACGAUGUGGGAAGGCCCAGACAGCCAGGAUGUUGGCUUAGAAGCAGCCAUCAUUUAAAGAAAGCGUAAUAGCUCACUGGUCGAGUCGGCCUGCGCGGAAGAUGUAACGGGGCUAAACCAUGCACCGAAGCUGCGGCAGCGACGCUUAUGCGUUGUUGGGUAGGGGAGCGUUCUGUAAGCCUGUGAAGGUGUGCUGUGAGGCAUGCUGGAGGUAUCAGAAGUGCGAAUGCUGACAUAAGUAACGAUAAAGCGGGUGAAAAGCCCGCUCGCCGGAAGACCAAGGGUUCCUGUCCAACGUUAAUCGGGGCAGGGUGAGUCGACCCCUAAGGCGAGGCCGAAAGGCGUAGUCGAUGGGAAACAGGUUAAUAUUCCUGUACUUGGUGUUACUGCGAAGGGGGGACGGAGAAGGCUAUGUUGGCCGGGCGACGGUUGUCCCGGUUUAAGCGUGUAGGCUGGUUUUCCAGGCAAAUCCGGAAAAUCAAGGCUGAGGCGUGAUGACGAGGCACUACGGUGCUGAAGCAACAAAUGCCCUGCUUCCAGGAAAAGCCUCUAAGCAUCAGGUAACAUCAAAUCGUACCCCAAACCGACACAGGUGGUCAGGUAGAGAAUACCAAGGCGCUUGAGAGAACUCGGGUGAAGGAACUAGGCAAAAUGGUGCCGUAACUUCGGGAGAAGGCACGCUGAUAUGUAGGUGAAGUCCCUCGCGGAUGGAGCUGAAAUCAGUCGAAGAUACCAGCUGGCUGCAACUGUUUAUUAAAAACACAGCACUGUGCAAACACGAAAGUGGACGUAUACGGUGUGACGCCUGCCCGGUGCCGGAAGGUUAAUUGAUGGGGUCAGCGCAAGCGAAGCUCUUGAUCGAAGCCCCGGUAAACGGCGGCCGUAACUAUAACGGUCCUAAGGUAGCGAAAUUCCUUGUCGGGUAAGUUCCGACCUGCACGAAUGGCGUAAUGAUGGCCAGGCUGUCUCCACCCGAGACUCAGUGAAAUUGAACUCGCUGUGAAGAUGCAGUGUACCCGCGGCAAGACGGAAAGACCCCGUGAACCUUUACUAUAGCUUGACACUGAACAUUGAGCCUUGAUGUGUAGGAUAGGUGGGAGGCUUUGAAGUGUGGACGCCAGUCUGCAUGGAGCCGACCUUGAAAUACCACCCUUUAAUGUUUGAUGUUCUAACGUUGACCCGUGAUCCGGGUUGCGGACAGUGUCUGGUGGGUAGUUUGACUGGGGCGGUCUCCUCCUAAAGAGUAACGGAGGAGCACGAAGGUUGGCUAAUCCUGGUCGGACAUCAGGAGGUUAGUGCAAUGGCAUAAGCCAGCUUGACUGCGAGCGUGACGGCGCGAGCAGGUGCGAAAGCAGGUCAUAGUGAUCCGGUGGUUCUGAAUGGAAGGGCCAUCGCUCAACGGAUAAAAGGUACUCCGGGGAUAACAGGCUGAUACCGCCCAAGAGUUCAUAUCGACGGCGGUGUUUGGCACCUCGAUGUCGGCUCAUCACAUCCUGGGGCUGAAGUAGGUCCCAAGGGUAUGGCUGUUCGCCAUUUAAAGUGGUACGCGAGCUGGGUUUAGAACGUCGUGAGACAGUUCGGUCCCUAUCUGCCGUGGGCGCUGGAGAACUGAGGGGGGCUGCUCCUAGUACGAGAGGACCGGAGUGGACGCAUCACUGGUGUUCGGGUUGUCAUGCCAAUGGCACUGCCCGGUAGCUAAAUGCGGAAGAGAUAAGUGCUGAAAGCAUCUAAGCACGAAACUUGCCCCGAGAUGAGUUCUCCCUGACUCCUUGAGAGUCCUGAAGGAACGUUGAAGACGACGACGUUGAUAGGCCGGGUGUGUAAGCGCAGCGAUGCGUUGAGCUAACCGGUACUAAUGAACCGUGAGGCUUAACCU
RNAcentral lists this ribosomal RNA (2901 nucleotides) under Escherichia coli. RNAcentral describes it as "23S ribosomal RNA". It matches the Rfam family "Bacterial large subunit ribosomal RNA". The record is from RNAcentral. Lineage: Bacteria; Pseudomonadati; Pseudomonadota; Gammaproteobacteria; Enterobacterales; Enterobacteriaceae.